AACGAACGCUGGCGGCAUGCCUAACACAUGCAAGUCGAACGAACCCUUCGGGACUUUUGGCGCACGGGUUUGUAACGCGUGGGAACCGUCCCAUAGGGUUGACAUAACUCUCCGACAGGGGUACUAAUAGCGGCUAAUGUCUACGGACCAAAGAUUUAUCGACCUUGUAUGUACACGCGUUGGAUUAGCUAGUUGGUAGGGUAAAAGCUUACUAAGGCGACGAUUCAUAGCUGGGUUCAGAGGCGGAUUAGCCACACUGAGACUGAGACACGGCCCGGACUCCUACGCGAGGCAGGAGUGGGGAAUAUUGCACCACGGGCGAAAGCAUGAUCCACCUAUGACGCGUGAGUGAUGAAGGCCUUAAGGUUGUAAAGCUCUUUUACCCGGGAUCAUAAUGACAGUACCGAGAGAAUAAGCUCCGGCUAACUCCGUG
Molecule: ribosomal RNA, 433 nt
Filed under: uncultured bacterium
Lineage: Bacteria
Description: partial 16S ribosomal RNA
Rfam family: Bacterial small subunit ribosomal RNA
Source: RNAcentral